Molecule: ribosomal RNA, 1313 nt
Filed under: metagenome
Description: bacterial LSU rRNA
Rfam family: Bacterial large subunit ribosomal RNA
Source: RNAcentral
UCCAUGCUUCCAAGAAAAGCAUCUAGAGAGAGAAGUAGUGCCCGUACCGCAAACCGACACAGGUAGAUGAGGAGAGAAUCCUAAGGCCGGCGGAAGAAUUGCAGUUAAGGAACUAGGCAAAUUGACCCCGUAAGUUAGCGAGAAGGGGUGCCUGCGAGAGCAGGCCGCAGAGAAUAGGCCCAAGCAACUGUUUAGCAAAAACACAGGUCUCUGCUAAAGCGCAAGCUGAUGUAUAGGGGCUGACGCCUGCCCGGUGCUGGAAGGUUAAGGGGAACACUUAGCGCAAGCGAAGGUGUGAACUUAAGCCCCAGUAAACGGCGGCCGUAACAAUAACGGUCCUAAGGUAGCGAAAUUCCUUGUCAGGUAAGUUCUGACCCGCACGAAUGGCGUAAUGACUUGGGCACUGUCUCAACUGCAAAUCCGGCGAAGUUGUAGUGCGAGUGAAGAUGCUCGCUACCCGCGAUUGGACGGAAAGACCCCGUAGAGCUUUACUGUAGCUUAGCAUUGAAUUCCGGUAUUGUCUGUACAGGAUAGGUGGGAGACUGGGAAACUAGGGCGUCAGCCUUGGUGGAGUCGUCCUUGGGAUACCACCCUGACAGUACUGGGGUUCUAACAGGACGCCAUGAAUCUGGUGACUGGACAUUGUUAGGUGGGCAGUUUGACUGGGGCGGUCGCCUCCUAAAAAGUAACGGAGGCGCCCAAAGGUUCCCUCAGAACGGUCGGAAAUCGUUCGUAGAGUGCAAAGGCAGAAGGGAGCCUGACUGCGAGACCUACAAGUCGAGCAGGGACGAAAGUCGGGCUUAGUGAUCCGGUGGUACCUCGUGGGAGGGCCAUCGCUCAACGGAUAAAAGCUACCUCGGGGAUAACAGGCUGAUCUCCCCCAAGAGUCCACAUCGACGGGGAGGUUUGGCACCUCGAUGUCGGCUCGUCGCAUCCUGGGGCUGUAGUAGGUCCCAAGGGUUGGGCUGUUCGCCAUUAAAGCGGCACGCGAGCUGGGUUCAGAACGUCGUGAGACAGUUCGGUCCCUAUCCGUCGCGGGCGUAGGAAAUUUGAGAGGAGCUGUCCUUAGUACGAGAGGACCGGGAUGGACUGACCUCUGGUGCACCAGUUGUUCUGCCAAGAGCAUGGCUGGGUAGCUAAGUCAGGAAGGGAUAAACGCUGAAAGCAUCUAAGCGUGAAGCCUCCCUCAAGAUGAGAUUUCCCAUAGCAUAAGCUAGUAAGACCCCUUGAAGAACGCGAGGUUGAUAGGUCAGAGGUGUAAGUGUGGUAACAUAUUUAGCUGACUGAUACUAAUAGGUCGAGGGCUUGACCAU